UUUUAGGUAAUACUUCAUGAUUUUUCCAAAUCUUGUGAGAACUGAUUAUAAACAAUUUCAACUUGAUAACAAACUUUAACAGUCCUCAGUAUUUUUUUUAUUUUUUUAUUGAGACCACAGAUUUAAAACACCAGGGGGAAAAAAACGCUAUGAAUUUUCACAUAAAAUUCUCUGAUUGAUGUAAACACUGCAGCAGUUCUUCCUAAUUGUUUUCACUGAUUGUAAUGUUCUUUUAUUUGUUUUAUUGUAAAUUUAUAUAAUGUGUUCUUGCUGGGGUCAAAUUGACCCUAAACAGAAGCAACUAUAAUGGAUUUUGAGGUAGCGUAAAGCUUAAUAAAGAGCUGUAAAGCUUCAAUAAUAUCUGCUUACUGGGGUUUGAUUAGGUCAGAGGAACUUAUAAAAUAGAAUUUAAAAGGAAAAUAAGAGGUCCACUUCGAAAUUAUUAGUACUAUUUUACACGUACCAUUAAGAAAUCGUUCAAUUGAGGAGGAAAAAAGUUUAAAUUAUACCCUAAAAGACCUGUUGAAGCCCAGGUUUGUAGUGUGCACCGAAUAUGAAAAACGUUUUUAUGUUACGAAUACAGGAACAGACAAAUCAACCGGAAAUAUGGUUGGCCAAUGAAGGGUAAUUUUAUCGGAAGCAGCAAAUGUUAUUUGCUUUAUACAUUGAUGGUAUUGAUUGCUCAAAGGAAAGAAAACAGUACUUUACAGUAUAUUUUGCAUUGCAUUUUGGGAACACAAGACUACAGUGAGCCCACACGUGUUUAAGGGGUGAUUGUUUCACCCAUCUUCAUCUUCUGAAUUAAUAGGUGAGUACCCUUUUGCUUUGCUUUUUAGCAUAGCCAUAAAACAUUACAUUUAUGUUCAACUCAUAUUGUGCUGUGAUAAUGAUUUUGGUAGCCUACCUGCCAUCAGAUCCCAAUAUCAACUAAAUAAGCUGUUUGUAACAUUAUAUUUCUGUCUUUAAGCCCAAGAUCUUUGUUUCUUUUACUAAAAUUGUUUUCUUUAAGUGAUUUGUUGUCAGAUUGAAUAAUGCACUGGAUUUGGGUUAAUUUGUUAAAUUUGCAUGUCAGAUUUGAGAUUGGAGUCUGAGCUGACACACAAAACAGUGCAGAAACACCUCACUCAAGCGGUCAGUGUGGUCAGAUAAUGUUAACAACUUUAACGUUCAGAUCUGGGCUGCAAAUCGCAAAAGCAUUGUAAGCUUAAAUAGGUUGUAGAAACCAUUGGUGACAAUAAUUUCUACAAUCUACUUACGACGAAGUCGAAGUAUACAAUGCUUUUGGGAAACGCAGCUGUACAGCUGAUAAUGUUAAGUUUUAUGCAGGGAUGCAUGAUAUUCCUUCUCUUUUAAUCUGAAAACAUUGGUGAUACUGGAAUUGUAUCUAACUUUUUAAACACUUGUUUCAGUGGGAAACCAACUGUAACUGUGACACCGAGUGCAGCUGGAUUUCUGAAACAGAUCUUCCAUAUUACAGGAAAAUCAUACACAUCUGGCAUGGCAUUAAGGCGUUUCAUCGGGAUAAAUCCUGAGAGAGGCACCAAGGCUGGACGAGGCAAAGUCCUGUCAAAGCGUACGGGGAAAGUCGCCCAGAAAAAGAUGACAUCAGUCAACCCUCGUGUCUCCAGUCUACUAAAGAAACUAAUGGACUUUGAGUGGGACUUUAUAUAAGUCAGUGAACCCUGUCAUUCUCACACACACACUCAACUCACUGAAACUCACACAAACACUCACAUAUGAACACUAUCUCACACACACACACUCAACACACACAAACUCACACAAACACUCUCACACACACUCAACACACACAAACUCACACAAACACUCCUUCACACACACUCAACACACACAAACUCACACAAGCACUCUCACACACACACACACACACACAAACACUCUCUCACACACACACUCAGUACACACAAACUCACACAAACACUCUCACACACACACACACACACACACAAUACACACAAACUCACACAAACACUCACACACACACAAACACUCACAGACAAACACAUGCACACACACACACACAAACUCACACAAACACUUUCUCAGACACACACACACACACACACUGUUUUAGUCAUUCAUUCAGCCACUUUCUCAGUUAUGAGUGUUUAUGUCCAGAGUUCAGUGUUUGGACAGAUAGAGAUUUGUUAUUAUUUGCUAUAAUAUGUAUUUAUUAUUUAUAUGGCUGAAAUGUAAGUUUAUUUAGCCAAAUCAGAUUUGGGAUUUGUUUACCAAUUGCCUCAUAAUUUUGUACUGAUGUUUUGCAAGAAUGGGGUUUUGCAAAU
Myxocyprinus asiaticus (Chinese sucker) is the source of this 2306-nucleotide long non-coding RNA. RefSeq lists it as uncharacterized. Lineage: Eukaryota; Metazoa; Chordata; Actinopteri; Cypriniformes; Catostomidae. The transcript has 4 exons. The record is from RefSeq and is a predicted model, not a curated record.